Leopardus geoffroyi (Geoffroy's cat) is the source of this 1509-nucleotide long non-coding RNA. RefSeq lists it as uncharacterized. The transcript has 3 exons. NCBI's taxonomy places the organism in Eukaryota, Metazoa, Chordata, Mammalia, Carnivora, Felidae. The record is from RefSeq and is a predicted model, not a curated record.
UGAAGUCAGACGCUUAACCAACUGAGCCACCCAGGUGCCCCUAAAGCAGAAUAUUCCUUAUAUGCUGAGCACUUAAUUAUACCAAAUUUCCCUACCAUGGAUAAUUCUAUCUGCCUUAUUGAGAAAGACCUGUGGCUAGGUGCCCUAUGUCUGGCCUGGAGUAAGGAGACUUUUGUGUUUGUGUGAAGAAAGUUCAGUCAUAAUAAUGAUAUCUGAGAAUCUUCCUCUUUGGGUGAUUGACUCAGCAUGAUCCAGUAUGGUUGUGACCCAUCAUGCCCUCUCCCACAUGUGGAGCUAAUAUGAAAUGAGUUGGGAAAACUGAUUCACAUCCUUAUAUGCAGAGGAACCCUGUUACAAAAAUCUAAUAAUACUACAGAAUUCCUGGCAAAAUAAGUGCUUCCCUGGGGAAAGGCAAGGCUCCCGGCUCAAUGCUUAUUAAAGGUAUUGUGAUGUAGUAGAAAGCUCAUUGACCUUGGAUUGGAAAGGCCUUCACUCGAUCUCAGCUCUACCACAUAUUAGCUGUGGAACCUCAUAUAGGUUACUUGGGCCUCUCUUGUCUGUAAACGAUGAUAGCACACUACAUCACAAGUUGUCAUGACACACCUGGAAGCAAGCACCCAGUGGCAUGCACGGCAUAACCAGAAAGAACAACUGACAAACGCUAGUAAAAACAUCAAAGAGCACAGAGAGAUUUUUCAUUUAAAAAAGACCUAGCACCAUUUGUAGACGUAAGUAGUAUCUAUUGUGCUGUCAGCGACUACCCAUGUGCAUGGUUCAUGUGUCAACUUGGCUGGGCUUUGAUGCCGAGACAUUCAGCCAAACACCAGUCUAGAUGUCACUGUGAAGGUAUAUUUUAGCUUUUACAUCAGUAGACUUGGAGGAAAGCAGAUUUACUCCCCAUUGUGUGUAGGCGUUGUCCAAUCUGUCAAGACCUUAAGAAGAAAAGAUUGAGGAAUUCUACUGGCAGGCUGCUUUCAGACUAGAGCUCCAAUGUCAGUUCUUCCCUGGUCUCCAGCCUGCUGACCUGCUCUGCAGAUUUGGGACUUGCCAGACCUCACAACUGUGUGAGCCAGUUCCUUAAAAUAAAUCUCUAUGUAGAUACACCUCCUAUCGGUUCUAUUUCUCUUACACAGCCUGCCCUGCUCACUAGGUGGUCAUUAAGUGUCAGGAACUAUAUCCAACUCAUCUUUAUAUCCUCAGCACCUAGCCCAGUGCCAGAUAUAUGAUGACCACGUUUAACGCUGAUGAUGCAGGAAGAAAAGACAGAAUGGCUCUUCUCUGGCAGUUGUUUAACGCAAAUGGAUCUCAAAGGUCAGGAAUGAGAAGAUGAAAACGGAAUUGAAGCAGAUUAAAUCAAGGCACAACAUUGUCACCCAUGGUACAUGUACAUCUGCACCCAGGGUUCUGCUCAGAGAACCCUCACAGAGCUUCUUUCUCUCUGCGCCACCUUUUUAAAAUCUUUAUUUAUUUGCGGGGAAGGGGGGCAGAGAGACAAAGGGGGAGACCCAG